GGCUUGUGGUUCAGUGGUAGAAUACUCGUCUCCCAGGUGUGAGGCACUGGGUUCAAUCCUCAGCACCA
RNAcentral lists this transfer RNA (68 nucleotides) under Marmota monax (woodchuck). Its description in RNAcentral is "tRNA.Gly". The record is from RNAcentral. Lineage: Eukaryota; Metazoa; Chordata; Mammalia; Rodentia; Sciuridae.